Molecule: long non-coding RNA, 552 nt
Organism: Triticum aestivum (bread wheat)
Lineage: Eukaryota; Viridiplantae; Streptophyta; Magnoliopsida; Poales; Poaceae
Exons: 2
Source: RefSeq, a predicted model, not a curated record
CAAACAUAAACAUAAUCUACAUGCACCCAUGCAUUGCUCUAUAUAUACAGACAUAACAUUCCUUCAAACCUAAUGUGACAACAGAAAAGUAUCUCCCCAGCAAGUCUGGCUGUUCUUGAUGAUGGCUGCAUCGGCGAAGGUGCAGGGAAGGCAUGUGGGCGUGGCGUCGGUUCCCGCAUGCUGCACCUACCACGUCGAGUGCUGCCAAUGUCUGACGGCGGAAGCCCCGCUCGCCACCGCCACUCUUCCUUGACGGCCACACCUGUGGCAUGUGAGUUCACUCUCCCCUUUGUCCCGACGAUUAGCGGAAUCAGCGUGAGCGCUCAUUCCACUGGUUCUGCAUGCGUCUAUGUGAGUCUGCUGCUUUUCAUGCCUCUAUAUACUAGUAGUAGUAAUCAAGCAUGUGCGCAUGCACGUGAUAAUAGUGGAUGAGAGUAUAACUGUACCCGUGAUAAGGAAGUAUAUGUAUUAUUCGAUACAAUGUGCUUGCACAGAUUUAUCUUCAAUUGCUACAAGCACAAAAUCACAAAUACUAACAUAAACACCAGUGAA